Molecule: ribosomal RNA, 621 nt
Filed under: Lactobacillus sp. oral taxon 461
Lineage: Bacteria; Bacillati; Bacillota; Bacilli; Lactobacillales; Lactobacillaceae
Description: bacterial SSU rRNA
Rfam family: Bacterial small subunit ribosomal RNA
Source: RNAcentral
AUGGACGCAAGUCUGAUGGAGCAACGCCGCGUGAGUGAAGAAGGUUUUCGGAUCGUAAAGCUCUGUUGUUGGUGAAGAAGGAUAGAGGUAGUAACUGGCCUUUAUUUGACGGUAAUCAACCAGAAAGUCACGGCUAACUACGUGCCAGCAGCCGCGGUAAUACGUAGGUGGCAAGCGUUGUCCGGAUUUAUUGGGCGUAAAGCGAGCGCAGGCGGAAAAAUAAGUCUAAUGUGAAAGCCCUCGGCUUAACCGAGGAACUGCAUCGGAAACUGUUUUUCUUGAGUGCAGAAGAGGAGAGUGGAACUCCAUGUGUAGCGGUGGAAUGCGUAGAUAUAUGGAAGAACACCAGUGGCGAAGGCAGCUCUCUGGUCUGCAACUGACGCUGAGGCUCGAAAGCAUGGGUAGCGAACAGGAUUAGAUACCCUGGUAGUCCAUGCCGUAAACGAUGAGUGCUAAGUGUUGGGAGGUUUCCGCCUCUCAGUGCUGCAGCUAACGCAUUAAGCACUCCGCCUGGGGAGUACGACCGCAAGGUUGAAACUCAAAGGAAUUGACGGGGGCCCGCACAAGCGGUGGAGCAUGUGGUUUAAUUCGAAGCAACGCGAAGAACCUUACCAGGUCUUG